GUAAAAACGACGGGCCAGUGAAAUUGUAAUACGACUCACUAUAGGGCGAAUUGAAUUUAGCGGCCGCGAAUUCGCCCUUUAGAGUUUGAUCAUGGCUCAGGAUGAACGCUAGCGGCAGGCUUCAUACAUGCAAGUCGAGGGGCAGCAUAAAUUACUUGUAAUUUGAUGGCGACCGGCGAACGGGUGCGUAACGCGUAUGCAACUUACCUUUUACUAGAGAAUAGCCAAGAGAAAUUUUGAUUAAUGCUCUAUGUUCUUAUUUACUCGCAUGAGUAAAAAAGCAAAGCUCCGGCGGUAAAAGAUGGGCAUGCGUCCUAUUAGCUUGUAGGUGAGGUAAUGGCUCACCUAAGCUCCGAUAGGUAGGGGUCCUGAGAGGGAGAUCCCCCACACUGGUACUGAGACACGGACCAGACUUCUACGGAAGGCAGCAGUAAGGAAUAUUGGACAAUGGAGGCAACUCUGAUCCAGCCAUGCCGCGUGAAGGAAGACGGCCUUAUGGGUUGUAAACUUCUUUUAUACAGGAAGAAACCUUUCCACGUGUGGAAAGUUGACGGUACUGUAAGAAUAAGGAUCGGCUAACUCCGUGCCAGCAGCCGCGGUAAUACGGAGGAUCCAAGCGUUAUCCGGAAUUAUUGGGUUUAAAGGGUCCGCAGGCUGUUUGUUAAGUCAGAGGUGAAAUCCUACCGCUCAACGGUAGAACUGCCUUUGAUACUGGCAAACUUGAGUUAUUGUGAAGUAGUUAGAAUGUGUAGUGUAGCGGUGAAAUGCAUAGAUAUUACACAGAAUACCGAUUGCGAAAGCAGAUUACUAACAAUAUACUGACGCUGAGGGACGAAAGCGUGGGUAGCGAACAGGAUUAGAUACCCUGGUAGUCCACGCCGUAAACGAUGGUCACUAGCUGUUCGACGUACAUUGGUAUGUUGAGGGCUAAGCGAAAGGAUAAGGACCCACCGGGGGAGACGUCCCCGAAGAG
Molecule: ribosomal RNA, 973 nt
Filed under: uncultured Bacteroidota bacterium
Lineage: Bacteria; Pseudomonadati; Bacteroidota
Description: bacterial SSU rRNA
Rfam family: Bacterial small subunit ribosomal RNA
Source: RNAcentral